This 454-nucleotide ribosomal RNA is filed under the name uncultured bacterium. RNAcentral's name for it is "partial 16S ribosomal RNA". It matches the Rfam family "Bacterial small subunit ribosomal RNA", at positions 355 to 802 of the family's 1533-position model. The record is from RNAcentral.
UAGGGAAUCUUCCACAAUGGACGAAAGUCUGAUGGAACAACGCCGCGUGAGUGAUGAAGGGUUUCGGCUCGUAAAACUCUGUUGUUGGAGAAGAGCGGGUGUCAGAGUAACUGUUGACAUCGUGACGGUAUCCAACCAGAAAGCCACGGCUAACUACGUGCCAGCAGCCGCGGUAAUACGUAGGUGGCAAGCGUUGUCCGGAUUUAUUGGGCGUAAAGCGAGCGCAGGCGGUUUUUUAGGUCUGAUGUGAAAGCUUCGGCUUAACCGGAGAAGUGCAUCGGAAACCGGGAGACUUGAGUGCAGAAGAGGACAGUGGAACUCCAUGUGUAGCGGUGAAAUGCGUAGAUAUAUGGAAGAACACCAGUGGCGAAGGCGGCUGUCUGGUCUGCAACUGACGCUGAGGCUCGAAAGCAUGGGUAGCGAACAGGAUUAGAUACCCUGGUAGUCCAUGCCG